UUUGACGUUACCUACAGAAGAAGCACCGGCUAACUCCGUGCCAGCAGCCGCGGUAAUACGGAGGGUGCGAGCGUUAAUCGGAAUUACUGGGCGUAAAGCGCAUGCAGGCGGCCUGUUAAGUCAGAUGUGAAAGACCCGGGGCGUUAACCUCGGAAUUGCAUUUGAAACUAGGCAGGCUAGAGUCUUGUAGAGGGGGGUAGGAAUUUCAGGUGUAGCGGUGAAAUGCGUAGAGAUCUGAAGGAAUACCAGUGGCGAAGGCGGCCCCCUCGGACAAAGACUGACGCUCAGAUGCGAAAGCGUGGGGAGCAAACAGGAUUAGAUACCCUGGUAG
Molecule: ribosomal RNA, 331 nt
Filed under: uncultured bacterium
Lineage: Bacteria
Description: bacterial SSU rRNA
Rfam family: Bacterial small subunit ribosomal RNA
Source: RNAcentral